AGUCGAGCGGUAAGGCCCUUCGGGGUACACGAGCGGCGAACGGGUGAGUAACACGUGGGUGAUCUGCCUCGCACUCUGGGAUAAGCCUGGGAAACUGGGUCUAAUACCGGAUAUGACCGCGAAUCGCAUGGUUUGUGGUGGAAAGGUUUACUGGUGCGAGAUGGGCCCGCGGCCUAUCAGCUUGUUGGUGGGGUAACGGCCUACCAAGGCGACGACGGGUAGCCGGCCUGAGAGGGCGACCGGCCACACUGGGACUGAGACACGGCCCAGACUCCUACGGGAGGCAGCAGUGGGGAAUAUUGCACAAUGGGCGAAAGCCUGAUGCAGCGACGCCGCGUGAGGGAUGACGGCCUUCGGGUUGUAAACCUCUUUCGACAGGGACGAAGCGCAAGUGACGGUACCUGUAGAAGAAGCACCGGCCAACUACGUGCCAGCAGCCGCGGUAAUACGUAGGGUGCGAGCGUUGUCCGGAAUUACUGGGCGUAAAGAGCUUGUAGGCGGUCUGUCGCGUCGAUCGUGAAAACGUGCAGCUCAACUGCGCGCCUGCGGUCGAUACGGGCAGACUAGAGUACUUCAGGGGAGACUGGAAUUCCUGGUGUAGCGGUGAAAUGCGCAGAUAUCAGGAGGAACACCGGUGGCGAAGGCGGGUCUCUGGGAAGUAACUGACGCUGAGAAGCGAAAGCGUGGGUAGCGAACAGGAUUAGAUACCCUGGUAGUCCACGCCGUAAACGGUGGGUACUAGGUGUGGGUUUCCUUCCACGGGAUCCGUGCCGUAGCUAACGCAUUAAGUACCCCGCCUGGGGAGUACGGCCGCAAGGCUAAAACUCAAAGGAAUUGACGGGGGCCCGCACAAGCGGCGGAGCAUGUGGAUUAAUUCGAUGCAACGCGAAGAACCUUACCUGGGUUUGACAUACACCGGAAAGCCGUAGAGAUACGGCCCCCCUUGUGGUCGGUGUACAGGUGGUGCAUGGCUGUCGUCAGCUCGUGUCGUGAGAUGUUGGGUUAAGUCCCGCAACGAGCGCAACCCUUAUCUUAUGUUGCCAGCGCGUAAUGGCGGGGACUCGUGAGAGACUGCCGGGGUCAACUCGGAGGAAGGUGGGGACGACGUCAAGUCAUCAUGCCCCUUAUGUCCAGGGCUUCACACAUGCUACAAUGGCCGGUACAGAGGGCUGCGAUACCGCGAGGUGGAGCGAAUCCCUUAAAGCCGGUCUCAGUUCGGAUCGGGGUCUGCAACUCGACCCCGUGAAGUUGGAGUCGCUAGUAAUCGCAGAUCAGCAACGCUGCGGUGAAUACGUUCCCGGGCCUUGUACACACCGCCCGUCACGUCAUGAAAGUCGGUAACACCCGAAGCC
Molecule: ribosomal RNA, 1352 nt
Filed under: Nocardia otitidiscaviarum
Lineage: Bacteria; Bacillati; Actinomycetota; Actinomycetes; Mycobacteriales; Nocardiaceae
Description: bacterial SSU rRNA
Rfam family: Bacterial small subunit ribosomal RNA
Source: RNAcentral